GUUCCGCUCAAAAAGACGACUGCCUAAUUUACUUUAUUUUUGGAAAAGAGAUGUGGACGUCCUGCGUCUUGUUUUAUUCUACUCUGAAGAAAAUAUUGACGCACUCUCUUCUGCGUCACUGAGAAUCAUGGAAUUCUAUUUAGUCCCGCGGCUAAAGAUGAAAAUGGAUCGAAUAAUAUCCAUUCAGAUCCAUUUUGAGAUUC
This 203-nucleotide long non-coding RNA is filed under the name Elaeis guineensis (African oil palm). RNAcentral describes it as "long non-coding RNA (EGUI_LNC000622)". Lineage: Eukaryota; Viridiplantae; Streptophyta; Magnoliopsida; Arecales; Arecaceae. The record is from RNAcentral.